Long non-coding RNA from Stegastes partitus (bicolor damselfish), 558 nucleotides. RefSeq lists it as uncharacterized. The transcript is spliced from 3 exons. The record is from RefSeq and is a predicted model, not a curated record. NCBI's taxonomy places the organism in Eukaryota, Metazoa, Chordata, Actinopteri, Pomacentridae.
AGGACAGACCCACGGAAACGGAUGUGCUAUAAAACAGAUCCGGGGGACAUUUUCUGCACAGGUCCACACUGUGAAAGCAUGCUUCCUACGGCCAUGGCUGCCAGCCUCCCAGGGUUAGCAUCGGAUAUGUUGGUAAAGUUAAUUGCAUGCGUAUUUAUAGUUUAUUAUUAUUAUUAUUAUUAUUAUUAUUAUUAUUGUUAUUAUUGUUACUACUAUACGGGACCGGAUCGUGCUUUUGUUCCGAGCAGCGCGACCAGGCCGUGAAGAGGAGAAAAUACAUGAAGGUAAGAUUUUAAACCGUUUCCUUCAAAGUCACAUUUAAAUGACGUUCCCUCUCUUUAAGGCAUUAUUUAGUUCUUUCCAUGAAGCUUCUGAUUCAGGAGAUGGAGUGACUGCACGUCCACGUGGCUCCCGGAUGAAGCAGGACUUCCUUAUGGAGCUGGACUCUGGAUCUCCUCAAUAAGAGCACAGGAUCAGACGGCUGAAGCAGGAGGUGACCCCACCACUCUAAUGAUUCUCUGUUUAUUGUUCAAUAAAGCUUUAACCUUCAAACCUAAA